UUUUGUUUUGAAAUGAGUUGUCAUUGGGUUUAAAAGGGGGCAGGGCAUGCUAUGAUAAGAGUUUUUAAAGGUUUGCCCUGGGAGUUCUUGCUGUGGCCCAGUGGGUUAAGGACCUGGCAUUGUUACUGCUGUGGCUUGGGUAGCUGCUGUGAAGCAGGUUUGAUCCCUGGCCUGGGAACUUAUGCAUGCCACGGGUGAAGCCAGAAAAAAAAAAUUAGAAAGAAAAAAGAAAAAAGUUUACCCUGGCUGCUGCCUGCUAUGUAUGCUGUGUGGUGGGGGAGAGGGAAGGGAAUAGUGGGUGAGGGCUCUAUCUGCAAACUAUUGCCAUAGUCUAGAUAAGAGUUGCUGAUAGUUUGGACCAGGGCAAUGGCUGUGGGGAUGGUGAGAGAUGGUCAGAUUUGGGAUGUAUUUUAGGAGCAGAGUUGACAGAAAUUACUCAUGAGUGGAAGGUGAGGUGAAGAGAAAGUAGGGAGGCAGGAUACCUCUCAGGUGUUACGCCCUCUCAUAACCUCUUCACUCACCUUUUUGUUCCAUCAGUUGCUGUGACAACAAGCUGGCGCGGGUGUAGUUUGCUGCACUUUGCAGCUCUUGUCUUCUGCUCCAGGGCACUCAGCUGCCUGGGGGAACCUGGAAAUCCAGUAAGUUCACACCUCAGGAGCAACAUCGGACAGAUGGUGGUUUGGAGCAGAAAAGGAGCAGGAGCUGAAAAAGCGAGGCCAGUCUUACAACUCACUGGACUUCUGGCAAGAAUCCCUCCCCAGAACCAACCCUAAUUGCUGACCUGAGUUAUACACAUUCAAGAGAGAAGUAGAAGGUUUUCAUUACAAGUCAUCUAACUCUGCAGGAGUUUGGCUUUGAAAACCCCCUGAAAAGGACUCAUGUGAAUAAAGCGGGGCCAUUCUCAUUGAAGCA
RNAcentral lists this long non-coding RNA (912 nucleotides) under Sus scrofa (pig). RNAcentral describes it as "lncRNA (ENSSSCG00025067909.1)". The record is from RNAcentral. Lineage: Eukaryota; Metazoa; Chordata; Mammalia; Artiodactyla; Suidae.